Molecule: transfer RNA, 98 nt
Filed under: Knufia peltigerae
Lineage: Eukaryota; Fungi; Ascomycota; Eurotiomycetes; Chaetothyriales; Trichomeriaceae
Description: Capronia peltigerae tRNA
Rfam family: tRNA
About the family: Transfer RNA (tRNA) molecules are approximately 80 nucleotides in length. Their secondary structure includes four short double-helical elements and three loops (D, anti-codon, and T loops).
Source: Rfam by way of RNAcentral
GGUCGAUUAGAUCAGUUGGUUAGAUCGUUGUGCUAAUACCCUGUGGUCAAACACUAUGGAAAACACAAAGGUCAUGAGUUCAAGCCUCAUAUUGACCA